This 785-nucleotide ribosomal RNA is filed under the name Dermacentor nuttalli. RNAcentral describes it as "SSU rRNA". It matches the Rfam family "Eukaryotic small subunit ribosomal RNA", at positions 111 to 891 of the family's 1831-position model. The record is from RNAcentral. Lineage: Eukaryota; Metazoa; Arthropoda; Arachnida; Ixodida; Ixodidae.
UAUGGUUCCUUAGAUCGUUUCUUCCUACUUGGAUAACUGUGGCAAUUCUAGAGCUAAUACAUGCAGUGAGCCUGAAGCCCUUUGGGCGACGGGUGCUUUUAUUAGACCAAGAUCGAUCGGGUUUCGGCCCGUAUUGUGUGGUGACUCUGGAUAACUUUGUGCUGAUCGCAUGGCCACGAGCCGGCGACGUUUCUUUCAAGUGUCUGCCUUAUCAACUUUCGAUGGUAGGUUACUUGCUUACCAUGGUUGUUACGGGUAACGGAGAAUCAGGGUUCGAUUCCGGAGAGGGAGCCUGAGAAACGGCUACCACAUCCAAGGAAGGCAGCAGGCGCGCAAAUUACCCACUCCCGGCACGGGGAGGUAGUGACGAAAAAUAACAAUACGGGACUCUUUUGAGGCCCCGUAAUUGAAAUGAGUACACUCUAAAUCCUUUAACGAGGAUCAAUUGGAGGGCAAGUCUGGUGCCAGCAGCCGCGGUAAUUCCAGCUCCAAUAGCGUAUACUAAAGCUGCUGCGGUUAAAAAGCUCGUAGUUGGAUCUCAGUUCCAGACGAGUAGUGCAUCUACCCGAUGCGACGGCUCGGACUGAACAUCAUGCCGGUCCUUUCUUGGUGCACUUCAUUGUGUGCCUCGAGAAGGCCGGUGCUUUUACUUUGAAAAAAUUAGAGUGCUCAACGCAGGCGAGUCGCCUGAAUAAACUUGCAUGGAAUAAUAGAACAAGACCUCGUUUCUGUUCUGUUGGUUUUUGGAAUACGAGGUAAUGAUUAAGAGGGACAGACGGGGGCAU